UACGUAGGAUCCGAGCGUUGUCCGGAUUUACUGGGUGUAAAGGGUGCGCAGGCGGACUGGUAGGUCAGUGGUGAAAUCUCGUCGCUUAACGACGAAACUGCCUUUGAUACUAUCAGUCUUGAAUCCGGUAGAGAUCUGUGGAAUUCCGAGUGUAGCAGUGAAAUGUGUAGAUAUUCGGAAGAACACCAGUGGCGAAGGCAGCAGAUUGGGCCGGUAUUGACGCUCAGGCACGAAAGCAUGGGGAUCAAACAGG
This 253-nucleotide ribosomal RNA is filed under the name uncultured bacterium. RNAcentral's name for it is "partial 16S ribosomal RNA". It matches the Rfam family "Bacterial small subunit ribosomal RNA", at positions 524 to 776 of the family's 1533-position model. The record is from RNAcentral.